Molecule: transfer RNA, 72 nt
Filed under: Cordylochernes scorpioides
Lineage: Eukaryota; Metazoa; Arthropoda; Arachnida; Pseudoscorpiones; Chernetidae
Description: tRNA-OTHER
Source: RNAcentral
GUCCAGGGAUGGAAAUCGAACCCACAGUGUUCCCCUACCGGGCAGAAGCCAUGUCCUCUAGGCUACCCUGGA